UGGGGAAUUUUGGACAAUGGGCGAAAGCCUGAUCCAGCAAUGCCGCGUGUGUGAAGAAGGCCUUCGGGUUGUAAAGCACUUUUGUCCGGAAAGAAAUCCUUGGCUCUAAUACAGUCGGGGGAUGACGGUACCGGAAGAAUAAGCACCGGCUAACUACGUGCCAGCAGCCGCGGUAAUACGUAGGGUGCAAGCGUUAAUCGGAAUUACUGGGCGUAAAGCGUGCGCAGGCGGUUUGCUAAGACCGAUGUGAAAUCCCCGGGCUCAACCUGGGAACUGCAUUGGUGACUGGGCAGGCUAGAGUAUGGCAGAGGGGGGUAGAAUUCCACGUGUAGCAGUGAAAUGCGUAGAGAUGUGGAGGAAUACCGAUGGCGAAGGCAGCCCCCUGGGCCAAUACUGACGCUCAUGCACGAAAAGCGUGGGGGAGCAAACAGGAUUAGAUACCCUGGUAGUCCACGCCCUAAACGAUGUCAACUAGUUGUUGGGGGAUUCAUUUCCUUAGUAACGUAGCUAACGCGUGAAGUUGACCGCCUGGGGGAGUACGGUCGCAAGAUUAAAACUCAAAUGAAUUGAC
RNAcentral lists this ribosomal RNA (571 nucleotides) under uncultured bacterium. Its description in RNAcentral is "partial 16S ribosomal RNA". It matches the Rfam family "Bacterial small subunit ribosomal RNA", at positions 355 to 914 of the family's 1533-position model. The record is from RNAcentral.